GGAGAGGUGUCCGAGUUGGCCGAAGGAGCACGACUGGAAAUCGUGUAAGCCUCAAAAGGGCUUCGUGGGUUCGAAUCCCACCCUCUCCG
Molecule: transfer RNA, 89 nt
Filed under: bacterium
Lineage: Bacteria
Also listed under: 1 other name
Description: tRNA-Ser
Rfam family: tRNA
About the family: Transfer RNA (tRNA) molecules are approximately 80 nucleotides in length. Their secondary structure includes four short double-helical elements and three loops (D, anti-codon, and T loops).
Source: RNAcentral